GGUGGGACCUGGGGCCACCCGGGUUCAGACUCCGUUUCCAACCCUUGGUGCUGCGGCAGGUCUUCCCUGAGGACUUCAGGUUGGAAUCAGAUUGCAGAAUCGCCAGCAGGUGGCGCGGUCGGCCCAUCUGCUCUACCAGGUCAGGGCUCUGGGAGCACCACGAUUGGCUGCGGUGCUGCGUCUGUUGCUUUCUGAGCGUGGGAUCUGGAGAUCUGUUCCAACCUACUGACGUCGGCAGCUGCCAAGGGCAAUAGCUCCUCCCUCUCCUCCGCCCCGCUCGGGGUGCGCUCCGGGGAGAGGGU
This 302-nucleotide long non-coding RNA is filed under the name Ursus maritimus (polar bear). Its description in RNAcentral is "lncRNA (ENSUMAG00000010428.1)". The record is from RNAcentral. Lineage: Eukaryota; Metazoa; Chordata; Mammalia; Carnivora; Ursidae.